Long non-coding RNA from Meriones unguiculatus (Mongolian gerbil), 442 nucleotides. RefSeq lists it as uncharacterized. Lineage: Eukaryota; Metazoa; Chordata; Mammalia; Rodentia; Muridae. The transcript has 3 exons. The record is from RefSeq and is a predicted model, not a curated record.
GGAAAGAGGGUGAUGGAGAACUGACCUGAUGGAGCAGAAACAGCCCGGGCAGCUCCUUUAGGGCCUCCACCCCCACUCCCUGACCCCGCAGCCAAAGCGCUUCCCGGGGCGCAACAGGCGGCAGCCGGGGCCCACUCCAGCCUGGGAGGCUGCUGCACCCUCUCAGACACAGAGAAAAAGAGUUCUAUCACAGCUAAACUUCUGGCAAGAACCCCUUGUUAACUAUCACUGAGGUGGUGGAGGUAAAGAAGGAAGAGGAAAGGUAGCCACACACAAUGCAGAAUGGGACUCUGGCCAACAAACAAGCAAUGAUUCCUGCUAAUCUAGAGGAGAAGAAGGGUCCAGUCAGGAAGGCCCUCAGGAACACAGCUUCUCUGUCACCAUGGGAACCUGCACUAGUUCCACUGACCUGGUACCGAGAUCUCUACUUCCUUCUCCUGGU